UACAGAGGUCUCGAGCAUUAGGCGGAAUCACUGGGCGUAAAGCGUGCGCAGGCGGUUUGCUAAGACAGGUGUGAAAUCCCCGGGCUUAACCUGGGAACUGCGCUUGUUACUGGCAGGCUUGAGUGUGGCAGAGGGGGGUGGAAUUCCACGUGUAGCAGUGAAAUGCGUAGAGAUGUGGAGGAACACCGAUGGCGAAGGCAGCCCCCUGGGCUAACACUGACGCUCAUGCACGAAAGCGUGGGGAGCAAACAGG
RNAcentral lists this ribosomal RNA (253 nucleotides) under uncultured bacterium. RNAcentral's name for it is "partial 16S ribosomal RNA". It matches the Rfam family "Bacterial small subunit ribosomal RNA", at positions 524 to 776 of the family's 1533-position model. The record is from RNAcentral.